ACUGGCUGGAAUCAAACCCAGGACUUUUCAGUCCGCAGGCUGAUGCUCUUAUCAACUGAGCCAAAAUGGCUAUGGCCUCAAAUCAUUGUUUUAAAAAAUGAAAAAGAUUUUGAUUCUGUUCUUGGGAAGGUAGAAUAAUUUGACAAGGAUCCUGAAGCUGAGGUGUCAGUUCACUGACUAGCGUUGCUAGCGAGCUAAAAUUUCAUUGAUAGGUACUCUUUACUGCCUUUUUGGGUUAAAAUAGAUGGAGGUUUUCUAAGUUGGAAUUGCUGGCUUUACUAGGGUCUGCAGUUCUUUGCUUCUGAGUUUGUACUGUUUUCUUUAAGUACCUUUACUUUGGCACUGGUGUUCAGUGGUUGAGCAGUGACCCUUGAACCAGGUCAUGGUUUGAUUCCCGGUCACGGCACAUGCCCAGUUGUGAGUGCUUGAUCUCCAGUAGGGGGUAUGCAGGAGGCAGCCAAUUCUAUCUCUCCUCCUUUCUCUGAAAUCAAUAAAAAAUUUUUAAAAAGUAUCUUUACUUUGGAUACUGCUGAUACUAACUACUAAGGAGAGAGUAUUUUCUUAUUAAAAUUGUAGGCCCAUCUAACCCCUUGGCAUAGUUCAUAAUGUAUUAAAACUAAGAAAUUAAAGAUUUUUCAUUGGCAAUUAAUAAUUCCAUUCAGUAACAGCUGAUGCUGCUACUAGACUGGGUCAUGGACAGAUACUGUUAGUGGGGAGGUGACAUCUGGUACAACAAAACUUCAGAAGUAGCAGAUCUAUGCUACCUACUUAACAUUCCCCUUGGAUGCCUCAUAGGAUUCUCAAACCUAAAAGUAUAUUUACUGCCUGAACCUCUGUUUUCUCCCCCGUUGUGCUGCUACUUCUAAGUAAAUGGUACUGCCCCCUGGUCCAAGUCCUGGUCAAGGGGACAAUUUGCAUAUUAGCCUUUUAUUAUUAUAGGAUAAGAUUUGUAGUUAUUCUAAACAAGUACUUUUUUUCUGUACCAUUAGAUUUUAAUCUCCACUGAGGGCAGACAGUGUUUCAUUUGUUUUACUUGUUUAUUUAAAUAUUUUUUAUUGGUUUCAUAGAGGAAAGGAGAGGGAGAGGGAGAGAGAGAGAGAAACAUCAAUGAUGAGAGAGAAUCAUUAUCGACUGCUUUCUGCACAACCAUAUCGGGGAUCAAGCCCUCAACCCGGGCAUGUGCCCUGAACCCGGGCAUGUGCCCUGUCUGGAAAUUGAACCUUGACUUCCUGGUUCAUAGGUCAGCAACCACUGAACCAAGCUGACUGGGUUUGUUUUAUAUUUAGUUUAUAGUUCAAUACCUAGCACACAAUAAAUGUGGAAUAAAACAGUGAAUGUAUGAAAGAAUGAAUGAAAGCGUCCCUCAUGCCUCACAGUCUUCUCUAAGAAGUGUUUAUUGUGAGAAUGUCAUUGAUUUGGAGUUUUACAUAUCUCUACAGCCCAUAGUGUCUCCCCCCCCCCCACACACAGUGCCUUAAGAUGUGCUCAAAAUGAUGUCAUGACAAAUGAUACUUUUCCCCAUCUGCUGCUUCAAUCUUUUAUUUUUUGUUUUUUCACACCCACACCUGCCAUUUAUAUGGUCUUCUUGCUGGGAAUAAAAGGUAAAGAAUUCACAAAUAUCACCAUCUAAGCACCAGUUUCAAAUUAAACAUCACCCUUCAGCUUGCAAAAUAAUUUAUUUACAAGUAAGCAAUUGGCGGAAGAAAAUGUCAGUUCUUCUGUAGAGUAUAGAGGUAAAGUAUAGAGGAGGGGUAACUGCAUUUCAAGAUUACAGAAAGCAGUUGGAUAGAAGAGGCAGGACUGCCACUCCAGCAGACAACACAGAAGUAUUUGCCAAAUCCUGAGUUCAGAAUUUUUUCUUUUCGAGAUGGAUAUAAAAGCACCUAAAAGUCAAGGAAAAAUGUUCUUCCUAACAUGAACCAGCAGAAGCGCUGGAUGGGCUGGAAGCCGGCCCACCUGGUGCAAAGGCCAGCUUGCUGCAGAAUGCUUCAGUCCGCCAUCUAUGCUCCUUCAGAAAUCGUGCUUCAACAUUUUGAUCUUGUGUGUAUCUGUGGAUACAUUAAAGUCCCUGUUUUUAUUUCCAAGGCCAGAUUUCUCAAGCUCCUAUUUCUGAUAUUCCUGAGUUUCUUCUCACACAAAAUCAUAUAUG
Pipistrellus kuhlii (Kuhl's pipistrelle) is the source of this 2149-nucleotide long non-coding RNA. RefSeq lists it as uncharacterized. The transcript is spliced from 3 exons. The record is from RefSeq and is a predicted model, not a curated record. Lineage: Eukaryota; Metazoa; Chordata; Mammalia; Chiroptera; Vespertilionidae.